Molecule: unclassified non-coding RNA, 216 nt
Filed under: plant metagenome
Description: partial contains small subunit ribosomal RNA and internal transcribed spacer 1
Rfam family: Eukaryotic small subunit ribosomal RNA (bases 1-46)
Source: RNAcentral
AGGUCGUAACAAGGUUUCCGUAGGUGAACCUGCGGAAGGAUCAUUACCGAGUUCUUGCCUUGCCUCUGCAGGAACUCCCACCCCUUGAUUACUAUAGCGUUGCUUUCGGCGCAGACGCGUGGAAACAGGCCAUUGACCUCUCACGUCGAUGCGUGCUCGCCGGAGUUUCAUACUCUAACAUUAUGUGUUCGUCAGAGAAUCAAAAAUCUAAAAAAU